Molecule: transfer RNA, 72 nt
Filed under: Streptomyces fulvorobeus
Lineage: Bacteria; Bacillati; Actinomycetota; Actinomycetes; Kitasatosporales; Streptomycetaceae
Also listed under: 1 other name
Rfam family: tRNA
About the family: Transfer RNA (tRNA) molecules are approximately 80 nucleotides in length. Their secondary structure includes four short double-helical elements and three loops (D, anti-codon, and T loops).
Source: Rfam by way of RNAcentral
CCUUUCGUAGCUCAAUGGCUAGAGCCCCGCGUUGUGGUCGCGGUGAUUCCGGUUCAACUCCGGGCGGAGGGA